GUGGAAAAGGGAUGUGAACCCCUAGACUAAUGACAUCUCCAAGAGCUAAUUGGAGUGAGAUGUCAGCCAACUGGAGUCCAAUCAAUGAGAUGAGAUUGGAGGUGUUGGUUACAGCUGCCCUGCCCUAUAAAAACACACACACCAGUUCUGGGUUUGCUUUUCACAAGAAGCAUUGCCUGAUGUGAAUGAUGCCUCGCACAAAAGAGCUCUCAGAAGACCUACGAUUAAGAAUUGUUGACUUGCAUAAAGCUGGAAAGGGUUAUAAAAGUAUCUCCAAAAGCCUUGCUGUUCAUCAGUCCACGGUAAGACAAAUUGUCUAUAAAUGGAGAAAGUUCAGCACUACUGCUACUCUCCCUAGGAGUGGCUGUCCUGUAAAGAUAACUGCAAGAGCACAGCGCAGACUGCUCAAUGAGGUGAAGAAGAAUCCUAGAGUGUCAGCUAAAGACUUACAAAAGUCACUGGCAAAUGCUAACAUCUCUGUUAGCGAAUCUACAAUACGUAAAACACUAAACAAGAAUGGAUUUCAUGGGAGGAUACCACAGAGGAAGCCACUGCUGUCCAAACAAAACAUUGCUGCACGUUUACAGUUUGCACAAGAGCACCUGGAUGUUCCACAGCAGUACUGGCAAAAUAUUCUGUGGACAGAUGAAACCAAAGUUGAGUUGUUUGGAAGAAACACACAACACUAUGUGUGGCGAAAAAAAGGCACAGCACACCAACAUUAAAACCUCAUCCCAACUGUGAGUAUGGUGGUGGGGGCAUCAUGGUUUGGGGCUGCUUUGCUGAGUCAGGGCCUGGACGGAUUGCUAUCAUCGAAGGAAAAAUGAAUUCCCAAGUUUAUCAAGACAUUUUGCAGGAGAACUUAAGGCCAUCUGUCUACCAGCUGAAGCUCAACAGAAGAUGGGUGUUGCAACAGGACAAUGACCCAAAGCAUAGAAGUAAAUCAACAACAGAAUGGCUUAAACAGAAGAAAAUACGCCUUCUGAAGUGGCC
Non-coding RNA from Pelobates cultripes (western spadefoot toad), 993 nucleotides. NCBI's taxonomy places the organism in Eukaryota, Metazoa, Chordata, Amphibia, Anura, Pelobatidae. The record is from the annotation of a GenBank genome assembly.